This 23-nucleotide microRNA is filed under the name Salmo salar (Atlantic salmon). RNAcentral's name for it is "ssa-miR-16a-2-3p". Its record names the gene ssa-miR-16a-2-3p. The record is from miRBase by way of RNAcentral. Lineage: Eukaryota; Metazoa; Chordata; Actinopteri; Salmoniformes; Salmonidae.
UCCAGUAUUGACGGUGCUGUUGA